Molecule: non-coding RNA, 126 nt
Filed under: Caballeronia glathei
Lineage: Bacteria; Pseudomonadati; Pseudomonadota; Betaproteobacteria; Burkholderiales; Burkholderiaceae
Description: Burkholderia glathei Glycine sequence
Rfam family: Glycine riboswitch aptamer
About the family: This family represents the bacterial glycine riboswitch. Glycine riboswitches usually consist of two metabolite-binding aptamers domains with similar structures in tandem. The aptamers cooperatively bind glycine to regulate the expression of downstream genes.
Source: Rfam by way of RNAcentral
UCUUCGCACUCUGGAGAGCGGCAGCGGCUUGCGUUUCACGCCAGCCAGUUGCCCACCGAAGGGGCGCGCGGGGACCGCAUUCCGGGUCCGCGCAAUCUCUCAGGUACCGAGGACAGAGGGGUCAUG